Molecule: transfer RNA, 60 nt
Filed under: Ixodes scapularis (black-legged tick)
Lineage: Eukaryota; Metazoa; Arthropoda; Arachnida; Ixodida; Ixodidae
Rfam family: tRNA
About the family: Transfer RNA (tRNA) molecules are approximately 80 nucleotides in length. Their secondary structure includes four short double-helical elements and three loops (D, anti-codon, and T loops). Further hydrogen bonds mediate the characteristic L-shaped molecular structure. tRNAs have two regions of fundamental functional importance: the anti-codon, which is responsible for specific mRNA codon recognition, and the 3' end, to which the tRNAs corresponding amino acid is attached (by aminoacyl-tRNA synthetases). tRNAs cope with the degeneracy of the genetic code in two manners: having more than one tRNA (with a specific anti-codon) for a particular amino acid; and 'wobble' base-pairing, i.e. permitting non-standard base-pairing at the 3rd anti-codon position.
Source: Rfam by way of RNAcentral
GUGGCCUAGUCGGUAGAUCAUCUGGCUCGCGACCGGAGGAUCGUGGGUUCGAAUCCCACC